This 253-nucleotide ribosomal RNA is filed under the name uncultured bacterium. RNAcentral's name for it is "partial 16S ribosomal RNA". It matches the Rfam family "Bacterial small subunit ribosomal RNA", at positions 524 to 776 of the family's 1533-position model. The record is from RNAcentral.
GACGUAGGGCGCGAGCGUUGUCCGGAUUUAUUGGGCGUAAAGAGCUCGUAGGCGGCUUGUCGCGUCGACCGUGAAAACUUGGGGCUCAACCCCAAGCCUGCGGUCGAUACGGGCAGGCUCGAGUUCGGUAGGGGAGACUGGAAUUCCUGGUGUAGCGGUGAAAUGCGCAGAUAUCAGGAAGAACACCCGUGGCGAAAGCGGCUCUCUGGAACGGUACUGACGCUGAGACGCGAAAGCGUGGGGAGCGAACAGG